Long non-coding RNA from Hemiscyllium ocellatum (epaulette shark), 712 nucleotides. RefSeq lists it as uncharacterized. The record is from RefSeq and is a predicted model, not a curated record. Lineage: Eukaryota; Metazoa; Chordata; Chondrichthyes; Orectolobiformes; Hemiscylliidae. The transcript has 3 exons.
GAUUGGAAGCCUGAGAGCGUGGAAUGGAACAGGAGAGUCUUGAAUCGACAGGAUGGGACCAGGAAUGGGGAUCUGAACAUCAUCGGCUAGGGCCGCACUUAUAUCCCACCCUACUUACCCAGAAGGCAGUUAAAGGUCAAUGACAUUGUGGUGGGUCUGGUGUCCCAUGUCGGCCAGACCAGAAACUCAACAACAUUUACAGAUGCACCAUAGAAAGCCUUCUAUCCAGGUGCAUAAUGCUCUGGUAUGGCAACUGCUCUGCCCAGGACCGUAAGAAACUACAGAAGGUUGUGUGCAUAGUCCAGGCCGUCAUAGAAACCAACCUGCCAUCCAUGGACUCCAUUUACAUUUGUUGCUGCUAAAAGUCUGCCAACAUUAUCAAAGACCUGUGCCACCCCAGUAAUGCUCUCCUACAAUCUCUUCCAUCAGGCAGAAUAUACUGCAGCUUGAAUACAUGCACCAGCACAUUCAGGAACAGCUUCUUCCCUGUCAUUGUUAGACUAAUGAAUGGACUCUCUAGCUUCAAGUAAUGCUGAUCUUAUUAAUAAUGAUCAUGCCUAAUGCAUGUCUUGUGUAGUGUAACCUGUAUGCCUUAAGUUGCCCAAGUUUUUAUUCACCCUACCAUCUGUAUCUCCUUGCUUACAAGAUCUGUCUGUACUGCUCGUAAACAAAGGUUUUCACUGUAUUUUGACACACAUGACAAUACAUAAAU